This 892-nucleotide ribosomal RNA is filed under the name uncultured archaeon. Its description in RNAcentral is "bacterial SSU rRNA". It matches the Rfam family "Archaeal small subunit ribosomal RNA", at positions 23 to 922 of the family's 1478-position model. The record is from RNAcentral.
CUGACUGCUAUCGGAUUGGUACUAAGCCAUGCGAGUCGUUGUAGCAAUACAAGGCGGACGGCUCAGUAACACGUAGUCAACCUAACCUAUGGACGUGGAUAACCUCGGGAAACUGAGAAUAAAACACGAUAGAUCAUAAUGCCUGGAAUGGCUUAUGGUUCAAACAAUUUAUUGCCAUAGGAUGGGACUGCGGCCUAUCAGCUUGUUGGUGAGGUAAUGGCCCACCAAGGCUAUAACAGGUACGGGCUCUGAGAGGAGAAGCCCGGAGAUGGGUACUGAGACACGGACCCAGGCCCUAUGGGGCGCAGCAGGCGAGAAACCUUAGCAAUGUGCGAAAGCACGACUAGGUUAAUCCGAGUGGUUCCUGCUAAAGGAACCUUUUGUCAGUCGUAAAACCACAGAUGAAUAAGGGGUGGGCAAGUCUGGUGUCAGCCGCCGCGGUAAUACCAGCACCUCGAGUGGUCAGGAGGUUUAUUGGGCCUAAAGCAUCCGUAGCCGGCUUUGCAAGUCUCCGGUUAAAUCCAACUGCUCAACAGAUGGGCCGCCGGAGAUACUACAAAGCUAGGGAGCGGGAGAGGUAGACGGUAUUCUGCGGGUAGGGGUAAAAUCCACUGAUCCAUAGAGGACCACCAGUGGCGAAGGCGGUCUACCAGAACGCGUUCGACGGUGAGGGAUGAAAGCUGGGGGAGCAAACCGGAUUAGAUACCCGGGUAGUCCCAGCUGUAAACGAUGCAAACUCGGUGAUGCGUCGGCUUAUGGCCAACGCAGUGCCGCAGGGAAGCCGUUAAGUUUGCCGCCUGGGAAGUACGGACGCAAGUCUGAAACUUAAAGGAAUUGGCGGGGGAGCACCACAAGGGGUGAAGCCUGCGGUUCAAUUGGAUUCAACGCCGGG